CAAGGAAACCAAAUUGGACAGAAGAGCAGUGUUUACUUUUAGCUCAGUUAGUGGAAUAAAAUAAAGCAAUUUUAAAAGGCAAAUUUGGUUCUGGUGUCACAGCUCAAGGAAAGAGGCAGACCUGGGAUAAAAUAUCUCAGCAAAUAAACUCCUCAUUCCUUCUGGUCGUGCGCACCAGCAAGGAAUGUGAAAAGCGAUGGUGGAGGACCACCUGCUAAACAACUGUCUCAGGUAGCGGAAACAGUAUUUAAUGUACUGUACUUGGACACUCUGAAACAUCUGUCACUGGGCUGAAGGAAGGCACAGACAGCUCCAUGAUCCAGCUAAUGGGAUUACAACAAAGCAUGGAGCAGUCAGAGGAACUGGGGCCGUCAACGCCGCAGGUGUUCAACCCUUAGCCGGUGUAUCAGAUUAGCCCGCCUGCUGCAGCAAC
Molecule: long non-coding RNA, 433 nt
Organism: Monopterus albus (swamp eel)
Lineage: Eukaryota; Metazoa; Chordata; Actinopteri; Synbranchiformes; Synbranchidae
Exons: 3
Source: RefSeq, a predicted model, not a curated record